This 1260-nucleotide long non-coding RNA is filed under the name Cricetulus griseus (Chinese hamster). RNAcentral describes it as "lncRNA (ENSCGRG00000026270.1)". Lineage: Eukaryota; Metazoa; Chordata; Mammalia; Rodentia; Cricetidae. The record is from RNAcentral.
UUUAAAUAUUAUAACAUAAAACAUGUUACUGGUAUACCACACAAUCCUACAGGACAAGCAGUGGUUGAGAGAUCUAAUUGUACUUUAAUGGAAAUGCUCUAUAAACAGGCAGGGGGAACCAAGACCCCCCAAAAACAGAUUACAUAAUGCUUUACUAACCUUAAACUUUCUUAAUGCUAAUGAGACAAUAGAAAAAAUUGCUGAGCUAAUUCAGUUGGUGUACUGAUGGGGAAUGUACUGUGUAUGUUUAUCUUAUUGGUUGUUAAAUAAAAUACUGUUUGGCCAAUGAGACAGCAAGUAUAUGGGAGCUAGAAGUCAAAGAGGAUUCUGGGAAAUGUAGUAGAGAAGUGCUGAUCCGGGCAGGAAGUGACAUAGCAAGGAGACUCAUAUUUGAGCGAGGAGCGAGGAGAAAUGGGAAGUUCCCUCUUUCCCCUUUGCCUCCUCCAGCAGCAGGAUGUUAUCCACCAGCAAGGAGGGACGCCAAUAAGGCGUCUGAUAAGUUAAGUCUUAUAAAAUAUAUAGAUGUUUGAUAUUUGAGACUGAGCUAACAGAUGAGAAUCCUAGUCAUUGGCCAAGCAGUUUUGAACCUAAUACAAGUUUCUGUGUAUUCAUUUGGGCCUAACUCAGGCGGGCGGCUGGUGAAAAGCUUACACGUGGCGGUGGGGCUCAGCGGCUUUUGGCGGAAAGAUUUAUUGUAACAGUGUACUUCAAGGAUGCAUUGACUUCUCUAUGGAAACCAGGAUAUGUGUUACAUUGGGGUAAGGGUUUCACCUUUAUUUCUUCAGGUGAAGAAAAGCUUUGGACACCACCAAAUUGAUCAAGAUCUGAUUUGAACAGGAGAAACCUCUUGAUGAGGAGAAAUGAUAGGCCAUCCACCAAUGCAUAUCCAACGAGUUGUAUGGAGACCUCACAAAGUCUCUAGUUCAAGUAAUUUCAUGUCAGGACAAAUCCCACCAAGGAGCACCAAGAAAACAGUACAAGAUGAUAUAUAUAUAUAUAUAAAAGGGCCAAGCGACUAUCACAGAGUGAAAGAACAUGAAAUACUAUGUUGGCAGCAUCAAGAUUCAUCUGAUUGAGGCUCACAAAUGUGCUAAGAAAGAAAUAAGAGAAACAUCACCCUUUACAAUUGCCACAAACUACAUAAAAUGCUUUGGGGUAACGCUAACCAAAAAUUGAAAGGCCUGUAUCAUAAGAAUUUUGAGUCUUUAAAGAAUGAAAUUAAAGAUGAUGCCAUAAAAUGGAAGGAUCUUCCAUGUAACU